This 311-nucleotide ribosomal RNA is filed under the name uncultured bacterium. RNAcentral's name for it is "bacterial SSU rRNA". It matches the Rfam family "Bacterial small subunit ribosomal RNA", at positions 28 to 333 of the family's 1533-position model. The record is from RNAcentral.
GAUGAACGCUAGCGGGAGGCUUAAUACAUGCAAGUCGUACGGUAAGGAGGGGCAACCCUCCCUAGAGUGGCGUACGGGUGAGUAACACGUAUGUAAUCUGCCCCUAACUGGGAGAUAGCCCUCCGAAAGGAGGAUUAAUACCCCACUAACAUAAUGAAAAGGACAUCUUUUUAUUUAUUAAAACUACAGGUGGUUAGGGAGUGAACAUGCGUCUCAUUAGCUAGUUGGUGAGGUAACGGCUCACCAAGGACAACGAUGAGUAGCUGGUCUGAGAGGAUGAUCAGUCACACGGGCGACUGAGACACGGGCCC